CUUUCUUAUAAUUAUAUUUUAAAUGAUCAAUUCAUAUUUUUAAAAAUAUUUUAUUAUUUGCUUUCAGAAUGAAUGUUUAGUUUCCAUUUUACCGAUUUCUUCUUCACAGUUUCUGUAUCUUCUUUUCAAUAAGAUAGGUACAGUUGGUGUCUACGAUUCUUCAUUUUUAUGCCAGAAGACAUACAAUAUUGAUAUUCAGCGAAAGUACAAUAAUCACAGAUGGAAAGGAAAGAGAGGAACUGUAACGGAUGUUGUACUGAUGGAAAAUUGUACAUUUUACGUUAUAGCUACAACAAAUCGUUGUCUUCAUUUCGUAGACAUUUCUGCUAGUUUUCAUUUAGAAUCUUACGUUGUAACAGAUUUGUCAUAUAUUCCUUCAUGCUUAUUUUACUGUUAUGAUAGAG
Centruroides sculpturatus (bark scorpion) is the source of this 404-nucleotide long non-coding RNA. RefSeq lists it as uncharacterized. The transcript is spliced from 3 exons. The record is from RefSeq and is a predicted model, not a curated record. NCBI's taxonomy places the organism in Eukaryota, Metazoa, Arthropoda, Arachnida, Scorpiones, Buthidae.